GUUGAGGCAUUGGGAGCCCAUUUCCAAGUGCAAGACCUGGAGUACACAGUUCCCAACAAAACAAGCAGAUCGGUCCUGCUUGCACAGAGCUGUAGUUACAACAAUGGCAGACAUUCUUAGUAAAGCAAUGGUGGUAAUUAUCCUGGCAGGCUAUUACAAAGAACAUGAUUAUAAAAAUACCAUGUGCAACAGUGAUGACAAAACUGAAACAUGGUAAAUUCUAAAGGACUCCAUGAUUGAUCAGUGGGGAAACAAGGUCAAAGUAAAAAGGAACCAGUGUUGUUGUACGUUAUUAUUCAACUUUGAAAUGUGCAUGAUGGGUAAUAUAAUUUGAAAAGCGUCAAUAUUGCCUUUUUGGAUACAAAAUCUUCACUCUAUUGUAUAUUAUUAAUCCUAUGAAGAAACUGAUAUAUGUCACUGUGAGAUGUAAGAAGAAGAACCUAGAAAAUACUCGAUCUGAACUUGCAAAUUUAAGUAUAUUGUGAGAAAAUGGUUUGGGAAAAGUAUUUUCCAGAUUCUAAUUAUACCAUUGCUGUCCCUACUUAAGUAUAUUAACUAACAAUAGGUCUGAAAGACUAGAAUGAUAAGAUUAUUGUGUGGUAUGGAAUGGAUCUCUUUUAGACUAACCAAGUACUAGAGAAAAGUUCUAAAACAAGGGAGGAAUGAAAAGAGAACUUUCUCAUUUGUUCUGGACUAAAUGUGUAUGUCCCCCUAAAAUUCAUUUGUUGAAAUGCUCACCUGCAAAAUGAUGGUACAGUAGUCCCCCCUUAGGCACGGUUACCCUUUCUGCAGUUUCUACUUAUGGUCAACCACCAUCUGGAAGCAGUGAUCCUACUCCACACAUCGGAAGGUGAAUAGUGGCCUAAAGCUACAUUACAAUGUCAGGCCAAUCACCACACUUCAUCUUACCAUUUUAUCAUCUCACAUCAUCACAAGGUGACGAAAGUAGAAUAAGAUGUGGAGAAAGGGAAAGGACCAUAUCCACAUAACUUUCAUUACAGUGUAUAGUUAGUUGUUCUGUUUUACUAGUAGUUAUUGUUGCUCGUCUCUUUGUGUGCCUAAUUUAUAAAUCAAACCUUAUCAUAGGUA
Lynx canadensis (Canada lynx) is the source of this 1089-nucleotide long non-coding RNA. RefSeq lists it as uncharacterized. The record is from RefSeq and is a predicted model, not a curated record. Lineage: Eukaryota; Metazoa; Chordata; Mammalia; Carnivora; Felidae. The transcript has 3 exons.